This 254-nucleotide ribosomal RNA is filed under the name uncultured bacterium. RNAcentral describes it as "partial 16S ribosomal RNA". It matches the Rfam family "Bacterial small subunit ribosomal RNA", at positions 524 to 776 of the family's 1533-position model. The record is from RNAcentral.
UACGUAGGGCGCAAGCGUUGUCCGGAAUUAUUGGGCGUAAAGAGCUCGUAGGCGGUUUGUCGCGUCUGCUGUGAAAAACCUAAGGCUCAACCUUGGGCUUGCAGUGGGUACGGGCAGACUAGAGUGCGGUAGGGGUGACUGGAAUUCCUGGUGUAGCGGUGAAAUGCGCAGAUAUCAGGAGGAACACCAGUGGCGAAGGCGGUGGUCUGGGCCGAUACUGACGCUGUAGAGCGAAAGCGUGGGGAGCGAACAGG